Non-coding RNA from Pelobates cultripes (western spadefoot toad), 114 nucleotides. Lineage: Eukaryota; Metazoa; Chordata; Amphibia; Anura; Pelobatidae. The record is from the annotation of a GenBank genome assembly.
GUGCGCACGCCUAUACUCGCUCUCUCUCUCUCUCUCUCUCUCUCUCUCUCUCGAGAGAGAGAGAGAGAGAGAGAGAGAGAGAGAGAGAGAGAGAGAGCGAGAGAGAGAGAGAGA